This 264-nucleotide signal recognition particle RNA is filed under the name Clostridium frigidicarnis. RNAcentral describes it as "Bacterial large signal recognition particle RNA". It matches the Rfam family "Bacterial large signal recognition particle RNA". Rfam says of the family: The signal recognition particle (SRP) is a universally conserved ribonucleoprotein involved in the co-translational targeting of proteins to membranes. Archaeal SRP consists of a 7S RNA and homologues of the eukaryotic SRP19 and SRP54 proteins. In most bacteria, the SRP consists of a 4.5S RNA and the Ffh protein (a homologue of the eukaryotic SRP54 protein). Lineage: Bacteria; Bacillati; Bacillota; Clostridia; Eubacteriales; Clostridiaceae. The record is from Rfam by way of RNAcentral.
CCGUGCUAGAUGGGGAGCUAGCGGUGCCCUGUACCUGCAAUCCGCUUUAGCAGGGUCGAAUUCCUCGCCUAGGCCUUAAUUCGUAGGGUCUGGCCCACAUAAGUGGUGUUGAGAGUUGGGUCCCACGCAACGAAAACCUAUGAACCCCGUCAGAUCCGGAAGGAAGCAGCGGUAAGUAGAUAUUUUCGUGUGCCGUGGAUCAAUCUGGCUUGAGCUAACUGUGUGGGUAACGCUUAUGAGUUAUUGUCGAAGCGAGGUGCACGG